AGGAUGAACGCUGGCGGCGUGCCUAACACAUGCAAGUCGAACGUCCUGUCUCGCAAGAGGCAGGGAGUGGCGGACGGGUGAGUACCACGUGGGUCAUCUACCGUGAGGUGAGGAAUACCGGCGAGAAAUCGCCGACAAGACCGCAUAGGCUCGAUGCAAGUCGAGCAAAGCUCUUUCGAGAGAGGGAGCGCCACACGAGGAGCCUGCGCCCGAUUAGCUAGCUGGUGGAGUAACGGUUCACCAGGGCGACGAUCGGUAGCUGGUCUGAGAGGACGAUCAGCCACACUGGGAUUGAGAACGGCCCAGACUCCUACGGGGGGCAGCAGUGAGGAAUUUCGUCAAUGGGGGCAACCCUGAACGAGCAACGCCGCGUGCAGGAAGAAGGUUUCGGAUCGUAAACUGCUUUUCUCGGGAAGAGAACGGACGGUACCCGAGGAAUCAGCCCGGCUAACUACGCGCCAGCAGCCGCGGU
Molecule: ribosomal RNA, 472 nt
Filed under: uncultured bacterium
Lineage: Bacteria
Description: SSU rRNA
Rfam family: Bacterial small subunit ribosomal RNA
Source: RNAcentral